RNAcentral lists this ribosomal RNA (639 nucleotides) under uncultured archaeon. RNAcentral describes it as "bacterial SSU rRNA". It matches the Rfam family "Archaeal small subunit ribosomal RNA", at positions 50 to 694 of the family's 1478-position model. The record is from RNAcentral.
CCUGCGAGUCGUGAGUCUUAGGGACUCGGCGUACCGCUCAGUAACACGUGGGUAACCUGCCCUAUGCUGGGGAAUAACCUCGGGAAACUGAGAACAAUGCCCCAUAGUUCACCACGCCUGGAACGGUGGGUGGAUCAAAGCCCCGGCGGCAUAGGAUGGGCCUGCGGCGCAUCAGGUUGUAGGGGGUGUAAAGUACCCUCUAGCCCUCUACGCGUACGGGUGUUGGGAGACAUAGCCCGGAGAUGGAUUCUGAGACACGAAUCCAGACCCUACGGGGUGCAGCAGGCGCGAAAACUUGGCAAUGCGAGCAAUCGUGACCAGGGAACUCCAAGUGCAUCGGGUAAGACCGAUGCUUUUCUUGACUCUUCAAAGGUCUUGGAAUAAGGGGUGGGUAAGGACGGUGCCAGCCGCCGCGGUAAUACCGGCGCCUCAAGUGGUAGUCGCUUUUAUUGGGCCUAAAACGUCCGUAGCCGGUUUGGUACAUUCGUGGGUAAAUCAAGGUGCUCAACGCCUUGAAUUCUGCGAGCACGGCCAGACUUGGGACCGGGAGAGGUGUGGGGUACUCUCAGGGUAGGGGUAAAAUCCUGUCAUCCUGAGGGGACCACCUAUUGCGAAGGCGCCACACUAGAACGGAUCCGA